Molecule: ribosomal RNA, 248 nt
Filed under: uncultured bacterium
Lineage: Bacteria
Description: partial 16S ribosomal RNA
Rfam family: Bacterial small subunit ribosomal RNA
Source: RNAcentral
GCAAGUCGAACGAGAAAGCAUCUUCGGAUGCGAGUAUAGUGGCGCACGGGUGAGUAACACUUAGGUAAUCUACCUUUUCGCUGGGGAUAACUGAAGGAAACUUCAGCUAAUACCGAAUAUUCCAUAAUUUUCUACGGAUUAAUAUGGGAAAGCAUUAGCGCGAAAAGAGGAGCCUGAGCCCCAUUAGCUUGUUGGUAGGGUAAAAGCCUACCAAGGCAACGAUGGGUAGCUGGUCUGAGAGGAUGUCC